Molecule: long non-coding RNA, 345 nt
Organism: Chinchilla lanigera (long-tailed chinchilla)
Lineage: Eukaryota; Metazoa; Chordata; Mammalia; Rodentia; Chinchillidae
Exons: 3
Source: RefSeq, a predicted model, not a curated record
ACAGGGCCAUCGUGGCAACAGCAUGAAGGAAAUAUAGCCCAGACUCUCCAUCAACGUUGAUGUUUGAAUUAUGGAAGGAGGUUGACCAGGGCUGGGAGCCAAGCAACGUGAAUGGGAGAGACUCGUGCUCUGAGGGAUGCUGCCUACAAAACAGAGACUCAAAUGUACUUAAAAGACCACAUGGAGCUAAACCUUUGCAGUUGCUCAUGGAACUUAUGCUUGUUGCCAAAAUUCAUCGUCCUUGAAGCUGAAUUCUGCUGAACACCUCUUUUAAAGACUAAUCAAUAAAUCCCAGAGGAUGCUACCACCCUGUUUCUUAGACCUAUGCUCUAGAAGACAAGCAGG